ACGAGGGGCUGGCAGGGCCCCAGGGUCUACAAGGACCAUAUUCUCAGCUUUGGGAACGUCACCAAAUGCAAACAGGGGGCAAGAAGUCUGCAGGCAGCCAGGGGAGCUGGCCCGUGUCUAUAGCAGUGGUUCCAAGGGGCGAGGAGGGAUUGCCAAAUUGGGAAACUAAAGCUGUGAUGAGGAAUGCCUCAAGGUCCCUAAAAAAUCCCCAAAUUCACCAAAUCCUCCCAGCUGCUGAGGGCCUUCCUUGGUAGGGAGGUGCUCAGGGCCAGAGGGCUGCUUCUCUCCUAGGGCAUCCCGGGGCUGAAGGGCUUCAGAGGGGACCCCGGACACAAAGGACCCAAGGUGGGUGACACGUGCCAUGCUCAUCACCUCGUGGGGGACAUGUGGCCUUGGGAGCUGUCUGUGGGCAGACACGUGCCAUGGUGCUGCAGCGCCUUCCUUGCCCAUUCCAUCACGCACUGCCCACAGAGCGGGAUUCCCCAUGUCAGUCCCCAGGGUGUCCCCAGCCAUUCCCAACCUCUCAUUGCUGCCACAGCUUUCCUUCCUCUCACAGGGUGAGAAGGGCAACAGGGGCCACGUGGGGCAGCGCGGGGACGAUGGCUUCAAGGGCAAGCAUGGACCUCAGGGCACUCCUGGGCGACCAGGACCCAAGGGAGAGCAGGUACUGGGGGGUGAUAGGGAUGAGAAAUGCAGCAGCAAACAGUAACGUGGGACAGGGGCUGGUUUGUGACCCCCUGUCCCUCUGCAGGGUGACACUGGCCCCCCUGGCCCGCGGGGGCUGCCUGGGCUCCCUGGGAAGCCGGUAAGUGCUUCAGCCCCCAAUGUGUGGGGUCUGAAGGGGCAGCAGCUCCUGCUCAGAGCCCCUUUGCUCUUCUCUUCCAGGGCUUGCCAGGACUGAAGGUGAGUGCAGGGUGAGGACGGCCCCAUGCCUGCUCUGGGAAUGCAAGGCAGCACCUCACCUCUUUGCUUAUCCAUCAUUCUCCUCCUCACCCUUUGUCAGGGACUAAAAGGGUUCCUGGGCCACCCAGGCACCAGGGGCAAGCCAGGACCACCGGUAAGCAGAGCCACCAGCGUCCCUUGUGCUCCCCAUGGGGACCCAAAGCAGUGCUUGGUGCCACGUGGAGGGGCAGUGCUGCGAGGGCAGCGGUGUCACCACUGUUAUCAUUGUCACCCAGGGGCUGGCCGGUCCCCCAGGUCCCAGCGGGCCAGCGCUGAUGCUAUCUGAGGAGGAGCUGUGGGUGUGUGAUGCUGUCUGGGUCCGGGAUCUUCCACCCCUGGCACCCUGCUGCCUGGUGGGGGGGGAGGGGAAAGGGGGCUAUCCCUCCCCAUCACCUUUCAGCACCUGAUUUAUCCCGCCGACCGCCUGAACCGUACCACAGUGCUGGCUCUGCUGGACACGCUGAGCCACGAGCUGAGAGCACUGGUUGAGCACCCGGAUGGCACCAAGGAGAACCCUGCGGCCACCUGCAAGGAGCUGCUGCUGGCCCACCCCAACCUGCCCGAUGGUACAGGGCUGCCUUGUGCCAGGGGAUGAGUGGGGCAG
This 1546-nucleotide long non-coding RNA is filed under the name Numida meleagris (helmeted guineafowl). RNAcentral describes it as "lncRNA (ENSNMEG00000005832.1)". The record is from RNAcentral. Lineage: Eukaryota; Metazoa; Chordata; Aves; Galliformes; Numididae.